Molecule: non-coding RNA, 564 nt
Organism: Microcebus murinus (gray mouse lemur)
Lineage: Eukaryota; Metazoa; Chordata; Mammalia; Primates; Cheirogaleidae
Source: RefSeq, a predicted model, not a curated record
ACAGGAUACAGGAGGCCCAAUUAUCUCUGCUAAACCAGCCUCUCCUCUUGGGCAAGCCCUUCCUGCCUCCUCUGUCGAUGCAGCAAUGCCUACAGCCUUGCGUGCAGAAGAGGCCUGGUCCCCGGCCUUCCAGGAAAAAGGGUGCUGCCUGAGAGGCAUCUCCCUGUUAUCCUCCUCCUCCUCCUCCCGGACACAGACCCUGAUUUCAGCCUCCAUGCCUCGCGUGUGCAGGAGUGCAUGUGUGUGAAUCUGCACGUGUUUUUCCAUCUGGGUGACACUCUCAAACGGCCAUGCGUCUGACCUCCUUCCAGAAAAACAAAGAGUAGAGGGUGGAACUGCUGAUGAGAAAAGGGCAGGAGACUUCAGAGGACAGGAAGUGUUCAAAUGGAGGAGACGGUCCAGGGGACCCCAGCAGAGUGAAUCGGCUGAUUGAUUGAUGUGUUUCUUCUGCAAACAUUCCUGACUCCUCAUCUGUGCCAGGGUGGUCCCAGGAUGCUGGCAGUGGCUCACACCUGUAAUCCUAGCAACUCUGGGAGGCCGAGGCGGGAGGAUCGCUCAAGAUCA